Long non-coding RNA from Passer domesticus (house sparrow), 4407 nucleotides. RefSeq lists it as uncharacterized. The record is from RefSeq and is a predicted model, not a curated record. NCBI's taxonomy places the organism in Eukaryota, Metazoa, Chordata, Aves, Passeriformes, Passeridae. The transcript has 6 exons.
CAGCAGGUCACACAGCAGAUUGGCUUGAACAGAUCUGGAACUUUGACCUCUGGAUUGCCAACUCACUGCAGUUGGUGUUUUCCUUUGCUGCAGGCAUUUGUUACUGGUUUUAAAGCUGGUGAUUAUUAUCAUCUGCUGUACUGAAAGGAAGCAAAGGGUAUAGCUACAAACAGUGAAACUGUGACCAACACAUAAAUAAUGUCAUUGUCCUAAGCAGUCCCAGAUAGUUGCAGGGAUGGAAGUUUAUGCUCCUGAUGAGGGAGCCUCUGCAAAGGAAAGGCAGAAGGCACAAAGAAUUGAGGAACAAAUCUUAAUUGUACUUUCUGUUUGCUCCUUGUUGCUCAGGCUCUGAAGUGCCAAGGUUGCCAAGUGGCUUGAAAAUUUCUGAGACUAUAUUUCCUAAGUGGAAUAAAAGCAGUACAGAACAGCAUAUUUGUUAUAGUUCUGUGUUUAGCUGGAAUGUAGAAGGACUUCUGAGGGCAAAACCCUUGUUUUGGGACCUGACUCAAGACAGCAUUUCUGCUUCCUCUUCUUGUUACCAAAAAUAAAAAGCAUUAUUAAGCAAUGAUGUUUACAGCUAUGCCAGGGAAGCUGUAUUGCUUCCAUUGAUUGCACAGAGUGUUGUCAGAGAACACUAUGAAAAGGACUCAGAAACCUGGGACAUUGAGAGAGGACAGCUCAGAGGGCACCACAGGCUAAGCUGAGAUAUCAGUUCCCAUAAGAGGCAGAGACUUCUGAAUCUGAAAAUGAAAAGCUUAAAUGUCAAAGAUAAAGGAAUGAUAAAAGCAGCUGUCAAGGGUGGUCAGCAGCUGGAUUCCCAAAACACCUUAGGAAGAACUUAGGGUGACAAGCAGGAAAAGGGGUACUGUCAAAAGCAUCUACUAUGGUCUCAGGAUCAGAGAGAGAGAGGAAAACAGAGGUUAAAGGUUUUUUUAAAAAACAGGUUUAUAGAACAACAUGAAAAGAAGGCAGAUAGGAUUUAGAAACAGCUUUGCUAAAGGAGAAAUCGGUUGAGUGUUCUAAUGAUGGAAGGAGAAGGACAAGAGUUUGAAUGAGGGAAAAGGGAUCUGACAAACUUGAAACUUUCUUUUUGUUAGUUAGCUGGAGGUGACAAGGCACUCCUUCAGUUCUGGUGCUAUAAAUGGGAGCUUGGAGUACAGCCAGGAGAUAUUUAGAUCACUCAAAGGCAGAAAUUACUUUUGGAAAUACUGAGAAUAGGUGAUGUCAUUUAGGUGAAAGAGAGAUAGUGCACCAAAAGAGGCAGCAGGAAAAGGAAAUCUGUCUUUUUAUCACCUUAUUCAAUCGGGUUAAGUUUUAGGAGGAGAAGUAGUUAUUGCUUCUCCUUUCUCCUUUGAUGUUAUAUAGACUGAUAAAUGCAGUCAUUGAAAAUAUUAAAAAGUUAUUAUGAAGAUAAGAUUUGGACUUUGUCAUCCUGGUCACUCAGAUAUAUCAAAUUUCAGUGAAGGAAAGGAAAAAAUAUGUAGUAGAUUGAAAAGGAUUAGAAGUAGUAAAGCAAGAGGAAUUACUUUGCUAUACAAAACACUGAAAAAGUUUUGGAGAGAGGUUGACUGGAACAGGUUCAGUGAUGAAGGUGAGAGGCUGAAAAUGAGAGGAGACAGUGUGGGGACUGAUGUAGGCUGACUCCUGCUCUAUGUGAAAUGCAUGGUCAGCUCAGUAUUUCUUGGUACUGUGAGCAAGGUUGAAUUUUAGUUCCUAAGAGGUGAGGGGAAAAUAAAUUUCCUCUCCCAGAGAGGAUGAAAACCAACUCCUGUGGCUGCUGCUGCCUUCCAGAGAGUGAGAAAAUCUGCAGCUGUUGUAGACAAGAAGUCAGAUGCAGUGCCAUGGCAACUGCUCUGAGACCAAGCAAGUCUGCCUCUUCUUGCUUUCUUAUGUUAUGUUUUUUUCCAUCCCAUUAGUUUAAAAGGUUAUUUAUCUUUUCUCUCCCACCCCCCCAAUAAUUGCUUGCUUUGGUAAUAGUGCACACAAAUGAGAAGAGACAUCAUUCAAAUUGUUAAAGAGAUAUAAGAACACAGACAGGGAUUAAAUCACUUGAGAAGGCAUCAACAAUACUGAUUGUUUUUAAUGGAAAGGUGAGAAGGUUUUAUAACCAUUGCAGCAUUGGAUCUUAGGAUCUACACUGAAGUCUUAUAGUUCUGGGCACAGUGAGUACAAGUCCAAGAACCAGCUUCCACCAUGAGGAGCCCUAAAAUACAAUCUGCUCUUCCACAAGCUGUACGGUUCCGUAGGCUGUGUCUUCACUAGCAAGUAGUGUGGAGCAGUGGAUGUGGAUCUGCAGGAGCAAACAGGCUGCAGGUUGUCUGCAGGAGACCAGAGCAGGCUGCCAGGCAGAAAUUUCAAAAGCAGACUUGCUGUCUGAGAUGCUAUGGGAGCAUGGAGCAUGGAGGAACAGAGAAUUACUGUUAUAUAAGCUUUCUAUUUCCUGGCUGAACAAGACAGGUCUCUUGUAGAAACUGAAGCCACGAACUAACAUGAAUCCCUAACAUGUGUGACAAAGCAUAACAGUGAAGUGGGGAAAGGCAUCCAACUGUCACAGCUCUGCAGGAUGUGCCCCAGAGAGGGAGCUGCCCCACGUGUCUGUCUCUGGGGUGCAUCAGAUGAAAUGUAGUGCUUUUGUCCUAAACUUAUUUUGCACUGCAAAGUAAGACAGUUAUCAGCUGCUUUUCUGUUAUCCUCUGAGGGGAGCAUUUUCUGCAGCUGCUGAAUUGCACUCAGAACAGUGGAGAAUGAUCACCAUGACUUACAAGGAGGCUUCAGGUCAAUACCAUGCUGAGGAAGGGAAGGAGCAGGGGCUGAUCAGACAAAGUUUCCAGGGUGAUUUUUAUGUCUUUAAGACAAAUUAAGGCUUGACAAGCAGCAUUUAGACCUAAGGACCAAAAUUCCUAAAGAGUCUUCAAGUUCUAUAGCUAUGGAAUUUUUAUGAAUGAAGUAAGAAGCAGGCACAAGAGGUCUUCAGGGCUGGAUUUGCACCCCAAGCUGCAGAAACCUAAAGGAAGCCACGAGAGGGCCAGUAAAAUACUGGUCUCUGAUAGCCCAGAUCAGUUUCUUCACACUUGUGCCAGUGCAAGGGGAGGAUGGCACGAGGUAAGAAUAAGGAAUUGAUGAUUAUCAAUCUUUUGGUGCCAAUGCACUUCCAGCUUGGUGUGAAAAGAUAAGCUAGUUGUGUUUGGUGUAAAGGAAAUUCUGCUUGAAGAUUAAGUGGAAGAGAAAGAAACAACAUUUUCUUCCAUUCUACUUAAUGUACCAGUAAUUAAUCUGGUUGGAAGUGUAUUAUUCUGGAGCCUGAUUUCUGGGUAUUUAGUAUGUGCUUUUGGAAACCUUGUUUCUACCAGAGCUGUAGAGAUUUCUUCUGAGCAAAAGAGGGACAGAGCAUGUAACACAUGUGCAUCUGUGCAUGCACAUGCAUGCUGCACAACUGCUCUGCACCUUGGUAGUCAGUUGGUCUGGGGAACAGGUUGGAGCUUAUGUAAAAGAGUAUCUUACUAGAAUUGGCUUGUAUAUAAUAUAUACUUUGCUAAAUAUAUUUUAUUUCUGAGUAAUGAUAAAAAAAAUAUUUGGUCUAGACAGUUUAGCAUUCUAAAAGCUAUAGGUAAGAAAAUUGCUUCACAAAUCCCCCAGACAUCUACCACAGCUCUGAAAAUCACUAUUGACCACUGUAUAGAUCUAAAGACUGUGUAUUUCACAGUUAAAAUACACCAAACAUUUCAGAAAUCUUAGUGGUUUCCCUCCAUGACUAUUUUUUCAUUUUGAUAUACUCACUGCACACUUCCCCACUGAGCCACUUUCUUGCAUCAUCAAACAAUCUAUAAUCCAUAUUUUACAGAAGGGUUUUCAAAAAACAAUAACCUACUCCCAAAUGUAAAUCAAGUGAACAAUGAAGAAUUUGGUCCACAUUCAAUUAAAAUUUUAGGCAAAUGCUCAGACAUUUUACCUCAUGGAAGCACUUCUGAAUGUGAAUUUAAAAUUAACCCUGUAUGGGGUUAAAAUGCUGAACUGGAAAGGCAGGUCAUGUGAGCUCCCAGAAAUCAAAGGUGACACUUGUAUUUAUUGAUUCGUUCAUUGACCUCUUUUAUGGCAAUAUUACAGAAGAUUAGAAUGGGGAUGUAUUGAACUUGCAUGGCCUGGUUUUGGUAGUGGGGGGCUGCAGGGCUGGCUUCUGUGAGGAGCUGCCAGAAGCUUCUACCGUGUCUGGCAGAGCCAAUCCCUGGUGGCUCCAAAGAUGGAUGUGCUGCUGGCCAGGGCUGAGCCACCUUGAUGGGAUGGUAACACCUUUGUGGUAACACAUUUUAGAAGAAAGAAAAAAAGAAGUUAUUGUGCAGUUGUGACUGCCAGAGAAGAGUGGGGUGAGAACAUGUGGGAGGAACAACCCUGCAAACACCAAGGUCAGUG